GCCGGACGCGGUGGCGCGCGCCUGUAGUCCCAGCUACCCGGGAGGCUGAGGCAGGAGGAUCGCUUGAGUCCAGGAGUUCUGGGCUGUAGUGCGCUAUGCCGAUCGGGUGUCCGCACUAAGUUCGGCAUCAAUAUGGUGACCUCCCGGGAGCGGGGGACCACCAGGUUGCCUAAGAGGGUGAACCGCCCAGGUCGGAAACGGAGCAGGUCAAAACUCCCGUGCUGAUCAGUAGUGGGAUCGCGCCUGUGAAGAGCCACUGCACUCCAGCCUGGGCAACAUAGCGAGACCCCGUCUCU
This 296-nucleotide signal recognition particle RNA is filed under the name Microcebus murinus (gray mouse lemur). RNAcentral's name for it is "Metazoan signal recognition particle RNA (ENSMICG00000033808.2)". It matches the Rfam family "Metazoan signal recognition particle RNA". From Rfam's summary of the family: The signal recognition particle (SRP) is a universally conserved ribonucleoprotein. Lineage: Eukaryota; Metazoa; Chordata; Mammalia; Primates; Cheirogaleidae. The record is from RNAcentral.